CGGGCGCGCGAGGGAGCACUCAGUGCUUCCUCUUCAGCUCCCUCGCGCGCCGCGUAGGGAUGCCGGCGCCGGAAGAUGACGUCAUCUUCCGGCUCCGGUAUCAGUGCGGUGCGCAAGGGAGCUGGAGGAAGCACUGAGUGCUCCCUCGCGCGCGCG
This is a non-coding RNA of Pelobates cultripes (western spadefoot toad), 156 nucleotides long. The record is from the annotation of a GenBank genome assembly. NCBI's taxonomy places the organism in Eukaryota, Metazoa, Chordata, Amphibia, Anura, Pelobatidae.